Molecule: ribosomal RNA, 253 nt
Filed under: uncultured bacterium
Lineage: Bacteria
Description: partial 16S ribosomal RNA
Rfam family: Bacterial small subunit ribosomal RNA
Source: RNAcentral
UACAGAGGGGGCAAGCGUUAUUCGGAAUUAUUGGGCGUAAAGGGCGCGUAGGCGGCUUUGCAAGUGACGGGUGAAAGCCCUCGGCUUAACCGAGGAACUGCCUGUCAGACUGUAAGGCUUGAGCCCGGGAGAGGUGAGUGGAAUUCCCAGUGUAGCGGUGAAAUGCGUAGAUAUUGGGAGGAACACCAGUGGCGAAGGCGGCUCACUGGACCGGAACUGACGCUGAGACGCGAAAGCGUGGGGAGCGAACAGG